UACGUAGGUGGCAAGCGUUUGUCCGGAAUUAUUGGGCGUAAAGCGCGCGCAGGCGGCCUCUUAAGUCUGAUGUGAAAGCCCCCGGCUCAGCCGGGGAGGGCCAUUGGAAACUGGGAGGCUUGAGUAUAGGAGAGAAGAGUGGAAUUCCACGUGUAGCGGUGAAAUGCGUAGAGAUGUGGAGGAACACCAGUGGCGAAGGCGACUCUUUGGCCUAUAACUGACGCUGAGGCGCGAAAGCGUGGGGAGCAAACAGG
This 254-nucleotide ribosomal RNA is filed under the name uncultured bacterium. RNAcentral's name for it is "partial 16S ribosomal RNA". It matches the Rfam family "Bacterial small subunit ribosomal RNA", at positions 524 to 776 of the family's 1533-position model. The record is from RNAcentral.